Molecule: ribosomal RNA, 620 nt
Filed under: uncultured bacterium
Lineage: Bacteria
Description: bacterial SSU rRNA
Rfam family: Bacterial small subunit ribosomal RNA
Source: RNAcentral
GUUUGAUCAUGGCUCAGAACGAACGCUGGCGGCAGGCCUAACACAUGCAAGUCGAACGCCGUAGCAAUACGGAGUGGCAGACGGGUGAGUAACGCGUGGGAACAUACCCCUCGGUUCGGAAUAACUCAGGGACACUUGAGCUAAUACCGGAUACGUCCGAGGUUUUAAUCGACCUCGGANAAAGAUUUAUCGCCGGAGGAUUGGCCCGCGUCUGAUUAGCUUGUUGGUGAGGUAAUGGCUCACCAAGGCGACGAUCAGUAGCUGGUCUGAGAGGAUGAUCAGCCACAUUGGGACUGAGACACGGCCCAAACUCCUACGGGAAGCAGCAGUGGGGAAUAUUGGACAAUGGGCGAAAGCCUGAUCCAGCCAUGCCGCGUGAGUGAUGAAGGCCUUAGGGUUGUAAAGCUCUUUUACCCGGGAAGAUAAUGACGGUACCGGGAGAAUAAGCCCCGGCUAACUUCGUGCCAGCAGCCGCGGUAAUACGAANGGGGCUAGCGUUGUUCGGAAUUACUGGGCGUAAAGCGCACGUAGGCGGAUCUUUAAGUCAGGGGUGAAAUCCCGAGGCUCAACCUCGGAACUGCCUUUGAUACUGGGGAUAUCGAGUCCGGGAGANGUGAGUG